UACGGAGGAUGCGGGCGUUAUCCGGAUUUAUUGGGUUUAAAGGGUGCGUAGGCGGACUGUCAAGUCAGCGGUAAAAUUGAGAGGCUCAACCUCUUCCCGCCGUUGAAACUGGUGGUCUUGAGUGGAUGAGAAGUACGCGGAAUGCGUGGUGUAGCGGUGAAAUGCGUAGAUAUCACGCAGAACUCCGAUUGCGAAGGCAGCGUACCGGCAUCCAACUGACGCUGAGGCACGAAAGCGUGGGGAUCAAACAGG
Molecule: ribosomal RNA, 252 nt
Filed under: uncultured bacterium
Lineage: Bacteria
Description: partial 16S ribosomal RNA
Rfam family: Bacterial small subunit ribosomal RNA
Source: RNAcentral